UACGUAGGGGGCAAGCGUUGUCCGGAUUCAUUGGGCGUAAAGAGCGUGUAGGCGGCCAGGUAGGUCGGUUGUGAAAACUGGAGGCUCAACCUUCAGAGGUCGACCGAAACCAUCUGGCUAGAGUCCGGGAGAGGAGAGUGGAAUUCCUGGUGUAGCGGUGAAAUGCGUAGAUAUCAGGAGGAAUACCGAUGGCGAAGGCAGGUCUCUGGGCUGACACUGACGCUCAUGCACGAAAGCGUGGGGAGCAAACAGG
Molecule: ribosomal RNA, 253 nt
Filed under: uncultured bacterium
Lineage: Bacteria
Description: partial 16S ribosomal RNA
Rfam family: Bacterial small subunit ribosomal RNA
Source: RNAcentral